Long non-coding RNA from Drosophila nasuta, 547 nucleotides. RefSeq lists it as uncharacterized. The transcript has 2 exons. Lineage: Eukaryota; Metazoa; Arthropoda; Insecta; Diptera; Drosophilidae. The record is from RefSeq and is a predicted model, not a curated record.
AAUACACAAAAUCUCAAAUUAAUUGAUCGUCUGUUAAUAAUCUUGUACUUAUUUUAUGGAUUGUUUUUGUAUGCUGUGAUUACGGAGUACUUUUAAAACGGUUCCUAUUAGGGUAUUUUGACUUCGUGUUUAUUUGAAAAGAGAAAUCUUAUUUGCUUUUUGUCUUUUUAAAUCAUUGGCAUUAAAUGCAGCAGGAGUGUGAAGACAAGCGCGGAAAGUAGAGAAGCUGCCACUAGGCAACGGCGUUGAAGCAGAAAGGACAUGGUUUGCCAAUACAAUGGCAGCAGACUGCAUACUGCCCUUUAAAACGAGGUACUAGUACGUCACAAGCGAAAUCACUAGAGAACUUGGGGGCAUUACUAGUACGACAUCAAUACAUGAGCCAUGAAAUUGAAUGUGAAUGCCGAUAUCAUAGUGCCAGUACAGUUGUUCCCUCCAGAUUAUCUCGGAACCAGAACGUAUCAAUCAUCCUACAAAUUUUAUGUAACGGGAUUGGUAUGUGUGAUGUUAUGAAGUUAUAAAAUAUAUUAUUACAUUUUUUGAUUAA